CAGUCGCCGCGGUAAUACGGAGGGAGCUAGCGUUGUUCGGAAUUACUGGGCGUAAAGCGCGCGUAGGCGGUUACUCAAGUCAGAGGUGAAAGCCCGGGGCUCAACCCCGGAACUGCCUUUGAAACUAGGUGACUAGAAUCUUGGAGAGGUCAGUGGAAUUCCGAGUGUAGAGGUGAAAUUCGUAGAUAUUCGGAAGAACACCAGUGGCGAAGGCGACUGACUGGACAAGUAUUGACGCUGAGGUGCGAAAGCGUGGGGAGCAAACAGGAUUAGAUACCCCGGUAGUCCCUGUUCUCUUAUA
This 301-nucleotide ribosomal RNA is filed under the name uncultured bacterium. RNAcentral describes it as "partial 16S ribosomal RNA". It matches the Rfam family "Bacterial small subunit ribosomal RNA", at positions 509 to 809 of the family's 1533-position model. The record is from RNAcentral.